This 248-nucleotide unclassified non-coding RNA is filed under the name Hevea brasiliensis (rubber tree). Lineage: Eukaryota; Viridiplantae; Streptophyta; Magnoliopsida; Malpighiales; Euphorbiaceae. The record is from RNAcentral.
GAUGCCGCUGCCGUCAUCCGGCGGCACGGUGCUGAUCGAAACGCUGAACAUUCUCGAAGGCUACAAGCUGCGCGAGAUGGGCGCGGGCUCUGUCGAUGCACUGCACGUCUCCAUCGAGGCGAUGAAGCGCGCCUAUGCCGACCGCGCGCGCUAUCUCGGCGAUCCUGCUUUCGUCAAUGCGCCCACAUUUCAGUUGAUCGGGAAAGACUACGCGGCCAAGCAGCGCGCCACCAUCGAUCUUGCAAAGG